Molecule: unclassified non-coding RNA, 479 nt
Filed under: Hevea brasiliensis (rubber tree)
Lineage: Eukaryota; Viridiplantae; Streptophyta; Magnoliopsida; Malpighiales; Euphorbiaceae
Source: RNAcentral
CGCUCUCUCUCUCUCUCUCUCUGCCUCUUUUCUUGAUCUCAAGCGCUACCCUCUUGAGUACUUUUCAUUUAUCAUCUUUUUUGCCUUAAUCUUUGCAUAAUCAUGGCUGGCUUAGUGUAUUUGGUGCUUUUAUUGGCACUUACUGGCCAUUCAAGUAAGCUUUUGGGUUAUUAUUGUUCUUUUUUUUUUUUGAGAUGGGUUCUUGAUCUUCUCUCUUUAAUAACUUGGGUUUUUUCUUUUAGUAUGAUUUAGCUGAAAGUAAGAGAGUUAAGAGAGUUCUUCUCCUUUUCUUUCUUCAUCUGAGGAAAAUUUCUCACCUAAAGUUUGUUUCUUUUCUUCAUUUUUUUCAAGAAAUUUGGGAGAUGAAUCCUCCUUAUUGAGAAAAGAGAUUCAGAAGAAGAAACAUUUGAUUUUGUGAGAUCUAAACUGUCCAUUUUCUUGAUUUGUGCUUGCAGGUGCUGCUACUUACUGCUUAUGUA